GUAUUUUAAAACAAGAAAAGCCAGAAUGGAAGUUUUAUGUGAUGAGACAAUAGAAACUUGUAUUGUACUAGGAAAUGAAUUUUGCCAGGACUUAGGGGAAAAUAAUAUCUGAAAGGAUAGCAAGAAAGAAUUUUGGAAAGCAUAAAGCCACAUGCAUAUGCUAACCAGUUAGGGUCAAAAAAGCUUGAAGAAGGUUGUAAUGAUUAUGUGAAGUGUCCAAAUGGGAACUGGAUUGAGAGGGUGUAAUAUUUUUUAGCUAGAAAUAAAGCCGGUGAGGGAGGGUAUCAUAUUUCAGGCUAUGUAUAUAUAUCGUGAGGCUAACGGGGAGGUGGAUUGGAUGGUGGCAUAUGUAGCGAGCCAUUCAAGAGGCAUCCUGGAGAGGGUGAGAUGUUCGGUGCACUUCAGGA
This 407-nucleotide long non-coding RNA is filed under the name Phoenix dactylifera (date palm). RNAcentral describes it as "long non-coding RNA (PDAC_LNC020324)". The record is from RNAcentral. Lineage: Eukaryota; Viridiplantae; Streptophyta; Magnoliopsida; Arecales; Arecaceae.